RNAcentral lists this long non-coding RNA (492 nucleotides) under Capra hircus (goat). RNAcentral describes it as "lncRNA (ENSCHIG00010019312.1)". Lineage: Eukaryota; Metazoa; Chordata; Mammalia; Artiodactyla; Bovidae. The record is from RNAcentral.
AUGUUCUAUAGAAGUUGUAUUUUGUAUACAUGUAAUCUAUGGAUAUCUCUGUUGGCAGGCCCUGGAGAGCAAUCCAAGCAGGCAGGAACCAGAAGAGGCACAAUCCUUGAAGGAUAUGGAAGAAUUAAGCUAUUGAGCCCAACAAACAUCUUGCAACCCAAACUCCAUCACACAUCAGCUUCCAGAAAACUCAACCCAUGCCAGGAGGGGAGGACUGUGACCCUGCCAAGAGGGAGAGCAAGGGAACUUUGCAGAGAACAGGUGCUCACAUUUCGGUGGCAGAGAAUUAAGGAGUCCACAGGCAUCCACGGGGCAGGAGAACAAGCGGAAUUCUGGAGCCUCAGGAAGACAAGACAGGCGUUGGCAACCAGAUGGGGCAAUGAGCCCGAUAUGACGCCACUAGGUGCCCCUAACCCGCUCCCUGGGGCAGGAUGUCAGGUCCGGUGUGGGCAGCUGAAGCCAGUAGGUGAGAGGGCAGCUUUCAGAUUCUGA